CUAACGACGAACGCGUUUCGACGACCGUCGGUCAUGCGUCGGUCAUGACCGACAAUGUCGUUUAUGACCGACAACUUUUAUCGAGGUACCCCGGGUAGGACGAAAACGUUCUACCGACAACUUUUGAACCGUCUGAUUGGUCAGCGAAAGAAGUAAUAGUUUAUAGGUUAUCAAGAAAAGUGUCUCGCCUCGUGUCAAGUGUAAUAGUUUAUAGGUUAUCAAGAAAAGUGUCUCGCCUCGUGUCAAGUGUAUGUAUGUAUGUACAUACGCGCUAGAGACGUAAAGAUACACGCACCAGGUACUUAUACUGCAGUUUGCCUGGCGAAGGGCGUGCUGAAAGGCCAGCGAAUACCAACAAAAAUUGGUCAUUAUCAAGAGAAACGAUAGUGUCUCGUGCCAAGUGUACGCACUACAGACGUAAGGAUACACGCACCAGGUACUUAUACUCCAAGUGUGGUUGCAGUUUUCCUGACAAAGGAUGUGCUGAAAAGCCAGCGAAUACGUAAAUAGUUAGCACUGCAAAGAAAAUGGCACACGAGUUUCUCGCUUGGGAACAUUUGUUGUUACAAAACAGAGUUAACAAUAUGGAACGUCGUGUACAAAGAAGGGAGU
Temnothorax curvispinosus is the source of this 612-nucleotide long non-coding RNA. RefSeq lists it as uncharacterized. The record is from RefSeq and is a predicted model, not a curated record. NCBI's taxonomy places the organism in Eukaryota, Metazoa, Arthropoda, Insecta, Hymenoptera, Formicidae. The transcript has 4 exons.